GUUCCUCCGCCACCUCCAGGUCCCACCGGCACACUUGCGUGACGCCAGUGUCCGCCUCUCCCUGAGUCUCUGGAGGAGAAAAGGGGAAAGCCGCCAAGGACGGAUGGGGCGUGCCCCCAGGGCCCUGAUUCAGGUUUUACUCUGAAGAGGAUAGAAUGAAAAACGAGAUCAGAAAUCAGCUUGUUAUGAAGCACAUGAGAAAAAAGCAAAAAUAAGGUUUUAACAGCUGUCUUGGAGACCCCGGUUUGAUUCCUGGGUCGGGAAGAUCCGCAGGAGGAGGGAUAGACUACCCACUCCAGGGUUCUUGGGCUUCCGCCUGCAAGGUGGACACCAAUUAGCAAUGACUCCAAGCGUGCCAGUUGCCUGUGAGACUUGGGGAGUGCUGCUGGAUGCCUAUGCCUGUAAUGAGGAUUUACAUUCCUAGAGAUCUGAGAUAACUCGGAUGUUAAUUCUCCACAGCCACAGGUCUGCCAGCAGAAGUUCAGCCAAAAGACUUGGGCUUGGAAACUGUUGCUGGUAAUUCACUCGAGCUCCUGCAGGUCACCUUCUGGAUUUUUAGGAUCCUCAUCACACUGCACUGUAAGCAUCGAUUUUCUGUUGUUGCCCUCAUCAGACAGACUGGCCCUCCUCCAUUAUCCUGCGUUCCUAGUCUAACCCAGGGCCUUGGGCACGGUCUGCAUCUCACACUUGCUUGCCAGUCGUUUCUACCUUGGUGCCACCACAGGUCUCUCUGGAUGCUUUUCUCCAGGAGAAAUGCUGCUUUCUCUUUCUCUACCCAGCUCAAAUCAA
Long non-coding RNA from Bubalus bubalis (water buffalo), 789 nucleotides. RefSeq lists it as uncharacterized. NCBI's taxonomy places the organism in Eukaryota, Metazoa, Chordata, Mammalia, Artiodactyla, Bovidae. The record is from RefSeq and is a predicted model, not a curated record. The transcript is spliced from 5 exons.